Molecule: ribosomal RNA, 119 nt
Filed under: Cervus elaphus hippelaphus
Lineage: Eukaryota; Metazoa; Chordata; Mammalia; Artiodactyla; Cervidae
Also listed under: 1 other name
Source: RNAcentral
GUCUAUGGCCAUACCACCCUGAACACACCUGAUCUCAUCUGAUCUCGGAAGCUAAGUAGGGUUGGGCCUGGUUAGUACUUGGAUGGGAGGCCGCAUGGGAAUACCAGAUACUGUAGACU